UACGGAGGGUGCUAACGUUGCUCGGAAUCAUUGGGCGUAAAGCGCACGUAGGCGGUCUCGUUAGUUGGAUGUGAAAGCCCUGGGCUUAACCCAGGAAGUGCACCCAAAACUGCGAGACUCGAGUUCCGGAGGGGGUUGGAGAAUUCCCGGUGGAGAGGUGAAAUUCGUAGAUAUCGGGAGGAAUACCAGUGGCGAAGGCGCCGACCUGGCCGGACACUGACGCUGAGGUGCGAAAGCGUGGGGAGCAAACAGG
This 253-nucleotide ribosomal RNA is filed under the name uncultured bacterium. Its description in RNAcentral is "partial 16S ribosomal RNA". It matches the Rfam family "Bacterial small subunit ribosomal RNA", at positions 524 to 776 of the family's 1533-position model. The record is from RNAcentral.